RNAcentral lists this long non-coding RNA (2711 nucleotides) under Equus caballus (horse). Its description in RNAcentral is "lncRNA (ENSECAG00000038114.3)". The record is from RNAcentral. Lineage: Eukaryota; Metazoa; Chordata; Mammalia; Perissodactyla; Equidae.
GGGGAGAUGGGAUAGCAAGCACAGUUCUGCUCUCUAUGGGCUCCAGUCUCAAGGGCCAAAGGAAAGGUCACACCAGCACAUUAACCGUGGGAAGCCAUGUUGAUGCUGAUACCUGGGUCAUUUCCACCGAUAGCCUUGUAUCAUCCACACAGAAGGAAGGUAGAGCACGCAAGUCUGAGUCAGCCCACUUCUUGGACAUGGCACCUCUGAAGUUUAGGUGCCUAUAGUUGAGCCUUGGGGGGAAGAAUGGUUGAUAGAAAGGACAGAGAUCAGGAAAAUAAUGUCAGACCAAUGCCCAGGAGCUUCUCUUCCUCAUGACAGAUCUACCUGGAAAUGAUCCCUCCCCCACAGCCCUGGACUCUGCUGUUCCUUCUCCUUCACUUCACUUGAGGGAUCUGAGCCUGGUCUGGGCCAUUCUUUUGACUUUCAAAAAGUCUUGAUUAUUGGAAGGACCACCAUGACAGGGACUCCUCCAUCCCUCUCUCCUGCAGAUUCUGAGACCUGUAUUCAGUUGCCUGUUGAGCUUGAGGAAUUCUUAGAAAGGAGGAGAUCUACAUGUUUCCACGAUCAUCCCUGCCUCUAUGCACUAGAUGCCAUAGCACCCUCUCUCACAGAUGUGGCAACCAAAAAUGUCUCUAGACAUUCUCAAAUGUCACCUGGAGGUGGAAGAGACAAAAUCCUCCCUUGGUUGAGAACCAUUGAUGAAGAAUUAGAGAUCUUUGCAUGUCCACUGGCUGGAAGACUAUAAAGAGGUGUCUUCUGUAUGUCUGCUUCCCUAGGAGCUCCUAACUUUUGGCAAUCAUGUUUCUGCAUAGAUGAUUUUACCUCCACCAGACAUAUCAGUGUUAUAGAUCAGUGCUUAUGUUACCUUACCGUACAUCCCUACCGAGAGCAACAAGGAGCUGUGUAUAGUUCACCAAAUCAAACUUCUAUAAAAUCAACAAUGUAAUCCAGAAAACCCCAGGUUUAUUGGGGAUCUAUUAAGUGUGUUCACUGUAUCACCUCUCGUUCUUUCAACUCUCCUGAGGGAUAGGUAUCAGUAACCUCAUUUUAUGAGUGAGAAAUUUGACGCUCAGAAUAGUUAACCUGGGAGUGGGAGCUAGGAUUUCAUCCCAGAUGCAGUUUGCUCCAAAGCUCAUGUAACUUCCUUGUUUCUGAGUGCCUCACAAUGUUCUCGAUGAAAUGCUGCACUGCACGGCUCUGGAGCAGUGUCAUGCAGUGGUCCUGUUGCCUCUGGAGCCACACAGAUUGUGCCACACACAGGCAGGCUUCCAGCAUGCUGUCUGCCAAGAACUCUGGGGGCCUGCAUCACUCUCCCAGGCUGACCUUGCAAUGCUUUGUAGAUUCCCAGGAAACUCGAGCACCUCUUUCAAGCGCUUUACUGUCUUUGGAUAUUGGCCAAACCUUCUUCCACUUGUCUUAUUUGAAUUGUGACUGUGAUAAAAAUUCCUCCUUCAGGGAAUGAGGUGGCCUGAUCUGAGCUCACUAUUCUAGAAGCACAUUCUGAGAAGUUGUGCCCUCAAGACUAUCUUUUGUCAUUUCAGUGCUACUGGUGGACUUGUCUCCUCCAGAGUCCCCAGAUCUUUGGAGGUCAUAUUGCCAAUGUAAACUUGCAGCAAUUACCUAUAAAGUUCCAAACAAAAGUCUCGCUGGCCUAUUUUUAUGAACCUCAAAAGUUUUGAGCAAACACUGCUGAAAAGUCAGCCUUCAAGGAAUGCUACCCUUCUCUACUUUGCAAAGCAGAGUGCCAAAACUGGAGGAGGGAAAGACAUACUUUUUCAGCCUUUGGGCGAUUUUUGAGUUCCGGUAGCGCUCAAAAUCAACUUCAUCUGUUCAGAGGUGGUGACUGUCCAGUAGAUGAAGACACUGAUCCUGUCUGAUAAACCAGGUGUCUCCGGAAAUAUUUGCCUUCAUUCUGAGUGUUAUGUGUGUGUUUAGGAGGCUCUGCGUGUGUGUGUGUGCGUACACACACACACGCACCCACCCACGUGUCCCCACUUGGUAACUCAAACCGAUGCUACCUGGUGCCCACAUCUGCAUGAAAUCAGCAAUCAUUUCAGCCAACCCAACUAGAAAGUUCCAAACAUCUGGAGGUUGGAAACUUGUGACCGGAACUCCUGGAUCCUUACACUGCUCUUUUUUCCUUCUGGUUUUCAUCCCUAGACUUGGCGUCAGUGUAGACACCGCCUUAGUGGUUCCUCUUGUAAACUGAGCCUUGCAGUGCAGACGUGUGACCAAGGUUAUCCCUGGAAAGAACGUCAUGGGCCUCAGUGGAAAGUUGCUGGACAAGCCCCAGACUGUGUUAUGAAACAAACCCUUGUUUCCAGGGUGGGACACUUGCUGAAUGAUCUGUGUUAUGUGGUUGCAAGUAAGAAUGACAAAAAUAAAGCAUCCUUAAUUUCUGGGAAAGUCAGUGCUCGAACUUCAAGAAUGAGUUAUUGAGGGAGGGGAUGACGUCUCCUGGGUUGGGAGGUCUACUGGAGAAAGCCCAAUAGCUUUCCCAACUGGGGCCGCUUCAUCACCCCUGGGGACUGAGCUGUGUUUCUUGGGCUGGAGAACAGAAGGAGCCGGUAGUUCAUCAUGUUGACAGCCAGUCAUGGGGGCCUGGAGGCCUGUGUUCCCAAUCACAGGGUUCCUGCCUUCUCUUCUCCCACCAAAUCCUUGCCUGGGGCCCCUGCCUCUCCCUGGUGAGAUUUCUGCUUUCAAAUCCC